This 111-nucleotide small nucleolar RNA is filed under the name Ochotona princeps (American pika). RNAcentral's name for it is "Small nucleolar RNA SNORA74 (ENSOPRG00000022492.1)". The record is from RNAcentral. Lineage: Eukaryota; Metazoa; Chordata; Mammalia; Lagomorpha; Ochotonidae.
CCCAGCUGUAGGCAACUGCCUAGGUUAUAUUGUACCUAGGCAAGUAUUACACUGUUGAGAGAAAAGCAGCUAAUAGUUGGUGGGCAUCCUGGACCUGAUUAAUGCUACAAA